ACUAGUUUGGAUUUUGGUCACAACAAAUUGGCACUAGAGGAAGGAUCCUCAAUCCUUACUUGGGGCUUAUUUUAAAAGAGUGUUUCAUCAUGAGGCCAUGAAGAGGAGCAUCAAAUGCAUCUCGCCACUCAAAUGGUGCGCAACUUAAUAAUGUUCAGUAGGAAGCUGUGGUACCUAAAUUAGUUCAAGCACCAUCACCACCUCCUCAAUCUACACCAGCGGUUUUAAAGUAUAGGCUUGGAUCGUUGCGAUAUAAUAAAUGCAGCAGGCUGCUGUAGCUUAACUUACAGCGAAUCCCCCACUCUCCAUGGAGAUCA
Molecule: long non-coding RNA, 317 nt
Filed under: Elaeis guineensis (African oil palm)
Lineage: Eukaryota; Viridiplantae; Streptophyta; Magnoliopsida; Arecales; Arecaceae
Description: long non-coding RNA (EGUI_LNC002302)
Source: RNAcentral